This 461-nucleotide ribosomal RNA is filed under the name Allophatnus sp. 1 BFS-2018. RNAcentral describes it as "partial 16S large subunit ribosomal RNA". The record is from RNAcentral. Lineage: Eukaryota; Metazoa; Arthropoda; Insecta; Hymenoptera; Ichneumonidae.
UCUGCUCCAUGAAAAUUUUUAAAUAGCUGCAGAAUAUUAACUGUACAAAGGUAGCAUAAUCAAUAGUUUUUUAAUUGAAAGCUGGAAUGAAUGAUCUGAUAAGGUAAAAAUUGUCUCAAAUUUAAUAGUAAUAGAAUUUUUUUUUUAGUAAAAAUACUAAAAUGAUUUUGAAAGACGAGAAGACCCUAUAGAUUUUUAUAUUUUAGGUUAAUUAAAUUUAAAUUUAUUAAUAGUUUUUAAAUAAAAAGUAUUUGGUUGGGGAAAUUAUUAAAUUUAAUAAAUUUUAAUAAUUAUAAACAAUAAUAAUUGAUAUUUUGAUCUUUGAUAUAAAUUAAAAGAUUAAAUUACCUUAGGGAUAACAGCGUAAUUUUUUUGGAGAGAUCAUAUUGAUAAAAAAGUUUGCGACCUCGAUGUUGAAUUAAGAUAAAAUUUUAAUGUAGAAGUUAAAAAAUUUUGGUCUG